Molecule: transfer RNA, 72 nt
Filed under: Camelus bactrianus (Bactrian camel)
Lineage: Eukaryota; Metazoa; Chordata; Mammalia; Artiodactyla; Camelidae
Also listed under: 1 other name
Rfam family: tRNA
About the family: Transfer RNA (tRNA) molecules are approximately 80 nucleotides in length. Their secondary structure includes four short double-helical elements and three loops (D, anti-codon, and T loops).
Source: Rfam by way of RNAcentral
GAGGGUAUAGGUGAAUGGUAGAGUGCAUGCUUAGCGUGCAUGAGAUCUUGGGUCCAAUCCCCAGUGCCUCCA